UUUAAAGAGAGUUUGAUCCUGGCUCAGGACGAACGCUGGCGGCGUGCCUAAUACAUGCAAGUCGAACGAACGGAGGAAGAGCUUGCUCUUCCAAAGUUAGUGGCGGACGGGUGAGUAACACGUGGGCAACCUGCCUGUAAGUUGGGGAUAACUCCGGGAAACCGGGGCUAAUACCGAAUGAUAAAGUGUGGCGCAUGCCACGCUUUUGAAAGAUGGUUUCGGCUAUCGCUUACAGAUGGGCCCGCGGUGCAUUAGCUAGUUGGUAGGGUAAUGGCCUACCAAGGCAACGAUGCAUAGCCGACCUGAGAGGGUGAUCGGCCACACUGGGACUGAGACACGGCCCAGACUCCUACGGGAGGCAGCAGUAGGGAAUCUUCCGCAAUGGACGAAAGUCUGACGGAGCAACGCCGCGUGUAUGAAGAAGGUUUUCGGAUCGUAAAGUACUGUUGUUAGAGAAGAACAAGGAUAAGAGUAACUGCUUGUCCCUUGACGGUAUCUAACCAGAAAGCCACGGCUAACUACGUGCCAGCAGCCGCGGUAAUACGUAGGUGGCAA
This 555-nucleotide ribosomal RNA is filed under the name Listeria monocytogenes. Its description in RNAcentral is "bacterial SSU rRNA". It matches the Rfam family "Bacterial small subunit ribosomal RNA", at positions 1 to 537 of the family's 1533-position model. Lineage: Bacteria; Bacillati; Bacillota; Bacilli; Caryophanales; Listeriaceae. The record is from RNAcentral.